Molecule: ribosomal RNA, 497 nt
Filed under: uncultured bacterium
Lineage: Bacteria
Description: partial 16S ribosomal RNA
Rfam family: Bacterial small subunit ribosomal RNA
Source: RNAcentral
GAUGAACGCUGGCGGCGUGCCUAAUACAUGCAAGUCGAGCGAACGGACGAGAAGCUUGCUUUUCUGAUGUUAGCGGCGGACGGGUGAGUAACGCGUGGAUAACCUACCUAUAAGACUGGGAUAACUUCGGGAAACCGGAGCUAAUACCGGAUAAUAUCUUGAACCGCAUGGUUCAAAAGUGAAAGACGGUCUUGCUGUCACUUAUAGAUGGAUCCGCGCUGCAUUAGCUAGUUGGUAAGGUAACGGCUUACCAAGGCAACGAUGCAUAGCCGACCUGAGAGGGGGAUCGGCCACAUGGGAACGGGGACACGGUCCAGACUCCUACGGGAGGAACCAGUAGGGAACCUUCCGCAAUGGGCGAAAGCCUAACGGAGCAACGCGGCGUGAGGGAUGAAGGUCUCGGGUUCGUAAAACCCUGUUAUUGGGGAGAAACAUAUUUGGAGGGAAAUGUGCACAUAUUGACGGUACCUAAUCAGAAAGCCACGGCUAACUACGUG